Molecule: transfer RNA, 68 nt
Filed under: Marmota monax (woodchuck)
Lineage: Eukaryota; Metazoa; Chordata; Mammalia; Rodentia; Sciuridae
Description: tRNA.Ala
Source: RNAcentral
AGGCUGUAGCUCAAUGGUAGAACACUUACUUAGCAUGCAUGAAGCCCUGGGUUCAAUCCUCAGCACUG